Molecule: transfer RNA, 84 nt
Filed under: Yimella lutea
Lineage: Bacteria; Bacillati; Actinomycetota; Actinomycetes; Micrococcales; Dermacoccaceae
Description: tRNA-Tyr
Rfam family: tRNA
About the family: Transfer RNA (tRNA) molecules are approximately 80 nucleotides in length. Their secondary structure includes four short double-helical elements and three loops (D, anti-codon, and T loops).
Source: RNAcentral
GCGUCGGAUGCGGUCUUGGUGAGCCGCGGCGGACUGUAAAUCCGUUCCACAUGCGGACUGAGGGUUCGAAACCCUCCCGACGCA